RNAcentral lists this long non-coding RNA (352 nucleotides) under Helianthus annuus (common sunflower). RNAcentral's name for it is "sRNA HanXRQr2_Chr05g0226981". Lineage: Eukaryota; Viridiplantae; Streptophyta; Magnoliopsida; Asterales; Asteraceae. The record is from RNAcentral.
UUGUGUAGUUUCGGUGCAGAAUACAGUUUCAGGUAACACUUUGUAGUGAGGGCGUUGCUUGACGAAAAGAAGAUAGUUGUUGACGAUUGUGUAGUUUCGGUGCAGAAUACAGUUUCAGGUAACAUGUUGAGGAGAAUGACCAGGUCCGUGACGGGUAGGCUGGCUAAUAAGCGAAAGCAGAACGAUAAAGAAACAGAACGAUAACGAAAGAAGGUAGAUGGAGAAACCGAUGAAGAAUGGGAACAAGAAGUCGAUGAAGGGCAAGUGGUGGGUACCUUUGAUGUUGUACAGAAGUUACCCUCUAGUGUAACACAUGUUAUAAACAUGUGUUACAUAUGUUCAACCUCUUUGU